CCAGUGAGCAGGGAGCAGAUUUGCAUGAAGGGGCCGUUCUCCAGCACUGGGGGUUUAAGAGAGAAUCGGAAGGUCUCAGCCACAGACCCGUUUGCCUCAGGGAGCCGAGCUCGUCUGGAUUCCCACCAUGGCCUGGGCCCCUCUGCUCCUCGCGCUGCUCACGUACUGUUCAGGUUCUCUCGCCCAGUACGUGCUGACUCAACCGCCCUCAGUGUCUGUAUCUCUAGGACAAAAUGCUCAAAUCACCUGCACAGGAGAAAAAGUUGACAAACAGUAUGUGAGCUGGUAUCAGCAGAAACCUGGCCAUGCCCCCGUACUCGUUAUAUACAAGGAUAGUGAGAGACCCUCCGGAAUCCCUGAGCGAUUCUCUGGGGCCAGCUCCGGUAAAACAGCCACAUUAACCAUCACUGGAGUCCAGGCGCAGGACGAGGCUGAUUAUCACUGUCAUCAUAAUUUCAAAGACAGUAGUAACACUACUCACUACUCACAGUGACACAGCCAGAUGGGGAAGUGAGACACAAACUGCCCGUUGACACGGGGGCUCAUUUAUUCUCAUUCUUUCUGUGACAGCGUGAGGG
Molecule: non-coding RNA, 578 nt
Organism: Chrysemys picta bellii (western painted turtle)
Lineage: Eukaryota; Metazoa; Chordata; Testudines; Emydidae
Source: the annotation of a RefSeq genome assembly